UACGUAGGGGGCAAGCGUUAUCCGGAUUUACUGGGUGUAAAGGGAGCGUAGACGGUAAUGUAAGUCUGAUGUGAAAGCCCGCGGCCCAACCGCGGGACUGCAUUGGGAACUACCGGGCUGGAGUGCCGGAGAGGCAGGCGGAAUUCCUAGUGUAGCGGUGAAAUGCGUAGAUAUUAGGAGGAACACCAGUGGCGAAGGCGGCCUGCUGGACGAUGACUGACGUUGAGGCUCGAAAGCGUGGGGAGCAAACAGG
This 253-nucleotide ribosomal RNA is filed under the name uncultured Blautia sp. RNAcentral's name for it is "partial 16S ribosomal RNA". It matches the Rfam family "Bacterial small subunit ribosomal RNA", at positions 524 to 776 of the family's 1533-position model. Lineage: Bacteria; Bacillati; Bacillota; Clostridia; Lachnospirales; Lachnospiraceae. The record is from RNAcentral.